This 215-nucleotide RNase P RNA is filed under the name Cronobacter sakazakii. RNAcentral describes it as "partial RNase P RNA component class A". It matches the Rfam family "Bacterial RNase P class A", at positions 140 to 367 of the family's 367-position model. From Rfam's summary of the family: Ribonuclease P (RNase P) is a ubiquitous endoribonuclease, found in archaea, bacteria and eukarya as well as chloroplasts and mitochondria. Lineage: Bacteria; Pseudomonadati; Pseudomonadota; Gammaproteobacteria; Enterobacterales; Enterobacteriaceae. The record is from RNAcentral.
GGGCUCAGGUAAGGGUGAAAGAGUGCGGUAAGAGCGCACCGCGCGUCUGGCAACAGUUCGCGGCACGGUAAACUCCACCCGGAGCAAGGCCAAAUAGGGGUUCACAAGGUACGGCCCGUACUGAACCCGGGUAGGCUGCUUGAGCCAGUGAGCGAUUGCUGGCCUAGAUGAAUGACUGUCCACGACAGAACCCGGCUUACCGGUCAGCUUCACAC